RNAcentral lists this ribosomal RNA (440 nucleotides) under uncultured bacterium. RNAcentral describes it as "partial 16S ribosomal RNA". It matches the Rfam family "Bacterial small subunit ribosomal RNA", at positions 338 to 795 of the family's 1533-position model. The record is from RNAcentral.
CCUACGGGAGGCAGCAGUGGGGAAUAUUGCACAAUGGGGGAAACCCUGAUGCAGCGACGCCGCGUGAGUGUAGAAGUAUUUCGGUAUGUAAAGCUCUAUCAGCAGGGAAGAAAAUGACGGUACUUGAUCCAGAAGCCCCGGCUAACUACGUGCCAGCAGCCGCGGUACUACGUAGGGGGCAAGCGUUAUCCGGAUUUACUGGGUGUAAAGGGAGCGUAGACGGCAGGACAAGUCUGGAGUGAAAGGCCGGGGCUUAAGGCCGGAACUGCUUUGGAAACUGUGCAGCUAGAGUGCAGGAGGGGUAAGUGGAAUUUCUGGUGUAGCGGUGAAAUGAAUAGAUAUUAGGAGGAACACCAGUGGCGAAGGCAGCUUACUAAUCUGUAACUGACGUUGAGGCUCGAAAGCGUGGGGAGCAAACAGGAUUAGAUACCCUGGUAGUC